GACGAACGCUGGCGGCGUGCCUAAUACAUGCAAGUCGAACGCAGUGGGGACGGGUGAGUAACACGUGGGUAACCUCCCAUCAGAGGGGAUAACACUUGGAUACUGGCGCUUAACCGAUACUGAUGGAUGGACCCGCGGUGCAUUAGCGAGUUGGUGAGGUAACGGCCCACCAAGGCCACGAUGCAUAGCCGGCCUGAGAGGGUGAUCGGCCACACGGGGACUGAGACACGGCCCAGAGUCCUACGGGAGGCAGCAGUAGGGAAUCUUCGACAAUGGACGAAAGUCUGACCGAGCAACGCCGCGUGAGUGAAGAAGGUUUUCGGAUCGUAAAACUCUGUUGUUGGGGAAGCGGUAUCUGACGAGAAAGCCACGGCUAACUACGUGCCAGCAGCCGCGGUAAUAC
This 403-nucleotide ribosomal RNA is filed under the name uncultured bacterium. Its description in RNAcentral is "partial 16S ribosomal RNA". It matches the Rfam family "Bacterial small subunit ribosomal RNA", at positions 28 to 526 of the family's 1533-position model. The record is from RNAcentral.